Molecule: ribosomal RNA, 914 nt
Filed under: uncultured archaeon
Lineage: Archaea
Description: bacterial SSU rRNA
Rfam family: Archaeal small subunit ribosomal RNA
Source: RNAcentral
UUCCGGUUGAUCCUGCCGGACCUGACUGCUAUCGGAUUGAUACUAAGCCAUGCGAGUCAUUGUAGUAAUACAAGGCAGACGGCUCAGUAACGCGUAGUCAACCUAACCUAUGGACGGGAAUAACCUCGGGAAACUGAGUAUAAUGCCCGAUAGAACAUUAUGCCUGGAAUGGUUUAUGUUCCAAAUGAUUUAUCGCCGUAGGAUGGGACUGCGGCCUAUCAGUUUGUUGGUGAGGUAAUGGCCCACCAAGACUAUUACAGGUACGGGCUCUGAGAGGAGUAGCCCGGAGAUGGGUACUGAGACACGGACCCAGGCCCUAUGGGGCGCAGCAGGCGAGAAAACUUUGCAAUGUGCGAAAGCACGACAAGGUUAAUCCGAGUGGUUUCUGCUAAAGGAACCUUUUGUUAGUCCUAGAAACACUAACGAAUAAGGGGUGGGCAAGUUCUGGUGUCAGCCGCCGCGGUAAAACCAGCACCUCAAGUGGUCAGGAUGAUUAUUGGGCCUAAAGCAUCCGUAGCCGGCUCUGUAAGUUUUCGGUUAAAUCUGUACGCUCAACGUACAGGCUGCCGGGAAUACUGCAGAGCUAGGGAGUGGGAGAGGUAGACGGUACUCGGUAGGAAGGGGUAAAAUCCUUUGAUCUAUUGAUGACCACCUGUGGCGAAGGCGGUCUACCAGAACACGUCCGACGGUGAGGGAUGAAAGCUGGGGGAGCAAACCGGAUUAGAUACCCGGGUAGUCCCAGCUGUAAACUAUGCAAACUCAGUGAUGCAUUGACUUGUGGUCAAUGCAGUGCUGCAGGGAAGCCGUUAAGUUUGCCGCCUGGGAAGUACGUACGCAAGUAUGAAACUUAAAGGAAUUGGCGGGGGAGCACCACAAGGGGUGAAGCCUGCGGUUCAAUUGGAGUCAACGCCGGG